RNAcentral lists this ribosomal RNA (253 nucleotides) under uncultured bacterium. Its description in RNAcentral is "partial 16S ribosomal RNA". It matches the Rfam family "Bacterial small subunit ribosomal RNA", at positions 524 to 776 of the family's 1533-position model. The record is from RNAcentral.
UACGUAGGGAGCAAGCGUUGUCCGGAAUCAUUGGGUUUAAAGGGUGCGUAGGUGGGCUGGUAAGUCAGUGGUGAAAUCUCCAGGCUUAACUUGGAAACUGCCAUUGAUACUAUCAGCCUUGAAUACCGUGGAGGUCAGCGAAAUAUGUCAUGUAGCGGUGAAAUGCUUAGAUAUGACAUAGAACACCAAUUGCGAAGGCAGCUGGCUACACGAAUAUUGACACUGAUGCACGAAAGCGUGGGGAUCAAACAGG